This 253-nucleotide ribosomal RNA is filed under the name uncultured bacterium. Its description in RNAcentral is "partial 16S ribosomal RNA". It matches the Rfam family "Bacterial small subunit ribosomal RNA", at positions 524 to 776 of the family's 1533-position model. The record is from RNAcentral.
UACAGAGGGGGCAAGCGUUAUUCGGAAUUAUUGGGCGUAAAGGGCGCGUAGGCGGCUUGGCAAGUGGAAGGUGAAAUCCCUCGGCUUAACCGAGGAACUGCCCUCCAAACUGCUUCGCUUGAGACCGGGAGAGGUGAGUGGAAUUCCCAGUGUAGCGGUGAAAUGCGUAGAUAUUGGGAGGAACACCAGUGGCGAAGGCGGCUCACUGGACCACAACUGACGCUGAGGCGCGAAAGCUAGGGGAGCAAACAGG